Gorilla gorilla gorilla (western lowland gorilla) is the source of this 652-nucleotide long non-coding RNA. RefSeq lists it as uncharacterized. The transcript has 3 exons. Lineage: Eukaryota; Metazoa; Chordata; Mammalia; Primates; Hominidae. The record is from RefSeq and is a predicted model, not a curated record.
AGGAGGUGGUGAGGUGUGGAAGGGGAUGAGAGUCCCUACACCCAGGCCUCAGCAGCAGAGCUCUCGCCCUCCCACCCUCCAUGGGAGGACACAGCAGGGAACCUAGGGCCCUCGCCAGACCCCAAACCUGCCCAGGCCUUGGUCUAAGACUUUCAGCCUCAAGAACUCUGAGAAGUUUCUGUCUUCAUGAAUCGCCUGACCUGGGGGACUGUCACAGCAACACAAGGAACUCGGCACAGGCCACUGCAGAGACCACAGCCUGCCCAGGACCCCUGAGCAGCCCAUGGCCAGGAGAACAGGGUCUGCAAAUGCACAUGCCCCAGCCAGGCACGGAAAUACGCCUGUGAGCGACACCACAUCAGCUGCUUACUCCCAACAGUUCAGAAACAAACGUGGGGGUGAAAGACGGAGACCCGGGGCAGGGCAGGAGGCAGGAGGGACACAGCCAACACGGCAGGAGGUGUCUUUCCAAGAUGAGUCCCAUCCAGGGCCCUUCCCCACUCCUCUUCAACGGUUUCAGUGGAUUCCUGCUCAGGCCCUUUUUCUGGACAUAACGGCCAACUGUUUACAGAGAGAUCAGUGGUGACUGGCGACUCUUUCUGGAGUCAAUGGAAGAUGAAGGACCAGGAGCCUGGUGCAGCUAUUCUUAGAG